Molecule: long non-coding RNA, 2172 nt
Organism: Balaenoptera ricei (Rice's whale)
Lineage: Eukaryota; Metazoa; Chordata; Mammalia; Artiodactyla; Balaenopteridae
Exons: 3
Source: RefSeq, a predicted model, not a curated record
AAGACUCCACUCUUGCACUGCAGGGGAAACAGGUUCGAUCCCUGCUCGGGGAGCUAAGAUCCCACAUGCCUCGUGGCCAAAAAACCAAAACAUAAAACAGAAGCAAUAUUGUAACGAAUUCAAUAAAGACUUUAAUAAUGGUCCACAUCAAAAAAAAAAAUUUUUUUUUUAAAAAAAAGAAACUUCUGACAACUUUAAUUGUUCUCCUCCCUGCCUCCCCUCGCUCUCACCAGCCUUGAAACCCUGCCUCCCCAGGCCCUGCCCUGGCCAUAUUUCUCUCCUUAACCCUCCUCACUCCCUGCCCAGCUGUUUAACUCCCUCCCCUCCCCCACCCUGCAAAGGUGAGGUCCAUGGGGGCUGAGAUGGGUUUAUUCACCACCCUCAUCCCAGCACUGGGUACACAGCUAGCGUUCAAUAAAUAUUUGUCCCACACUCCUUGUGGCCCCUUUCCAACCCUAACCCAGGCAUUCCUUGGCAGGCAUCCUCCCCCACUCCUCCUGCCAAGGUCGCCUGUACCUCUGUGUAGCUGCAUCAAGAACCUGCUGCCUAGGGAAUGGCUAACUUUGGCUUGUGUCAGAAUCCACCAGGGAGGCCAAAGACCCAGAAAUUCUGAUUCAGGAGGCCUGGGGUCCCAGAAUCAACAUUUAAAGAGCUUUCAAGGGACAUUGGUGGUGGUGAUGAUGAUGAUGGUGAUGAAGGUAAUGAUGAUAAUGAUGGGGGGAUGAUGGCAAUGAUGGUGAAGACGGUAAUGAUGGUGGUAAAUGAUGAUGAUGAUGAUGGUGAUGAAGGUAAUGAUGAUAAUGAUGGGGGGAUGAUGGCAAUGAUGGUGAAGACGGUAAUGAUGGUGGUAAAUGAUAAUGAUGAUGAUGAUGAUGAUGGCAGUCAUGGUGGUGAUGGGAAUGAUGGUGAUGAUGGCGAUGAUGGUGAUGAUGGUGGUAAUGGCAAUGAUGGUGAAGAUGGUCAUGAUGAUGGUGGUAAAUAAUGAUGAUGAUAAUGGUGAUGGCAGUGAUGGUGGUGAUGGUUACAAUGAUGAUGACGGCAAUGAUGGUGAAGAUGGUAAUGAUGAUGGUUUAAUAAUGAUGACAAUGAUGCUGAUGGCAGUCAUGGUGGUGAUGAUUAUAAUGAUGAGGGUGGUGAUGGCAGUGAUGAUGAUGAUGGUAAUGAUGGUGAUGAUGGUGAUGGUGAUGAUGGUUAUGAUGAUGAUGAUGGUGAUGACGGCAAUGAUGGUGAAGAUGGUUAUGAUGAUGUUAAUGAUGAUGAUGGUGGUGAUGGGAAUGAUGGUGAUGAUGAUGAUGGUGGUGAUGGCUAUAAUGAUGACGAUGGUUAUAAUGGCAGCAACCUACACAUGUUGACAAAUUUCUUUACAACAGGCACUGGGAUAGAGGCAGGAAGAAGCAGACAAAAGUCUCUGCCCUCUGAAAAACCAAAUGCAAUCAGCAGACUUUGGAGCUUGGUGUGAACAAACCAACUGUAAUAAGACAUUUGGGAACAACUAGGAUCUUAGUUCCCAGACCAGGGAUUGAACCCAGGCCCUUGGCAGUGAAUGCAUGAAGUCCUAACCACUGGACCACCAGGGAAGACCCCCAAGUGUAUUUUUAAGUUAAAACAAUAUUUGGCUCUCCCUUGCCUCUUAGAUGGGGGGAUAACUCUGAGGUGGAUAUUUCUCGCUGCUCCCAGAGUGCCCCCAGGGGAUGGUGCCCCACCUGGUGGUAACUUGCUUGGUGACGCCCUUCAUCAGCUGCCUGGCAACUACUCCCCAGGCUGAAGGCAGCGAUUCCUGGGAUCGCCUUCCAUCCAUCCUGCCCUUCAAUCCCCACCUGGACUCUGCUUCUGGGGGAACCCCAACUAACACAGGUGUGGCAAUGGUACUGUGAUAAGAAUUGUAAUAAUCUGAAUAAGAAAGUCUCUAGAUUAGCUAAGAUCAUGAUAUCAAUGUUAAUGUUACUAUGAUUGUGUAAGAGAAUGUUCUAGUUUUUAGGAAAUACCCUCCAAAGCACUGAAGGGUAAAUAGACAUCAUGCUUGCAACUUACUCUCAAAUAGAGAGAUAGAAGAAUAAAGCAAAUGUGGUAAAAUGUUAACAACGGGGAGUCUGCAUAUACAGGACUUCUCUGUAUUAUCCGGGCAAUAUUUUGUAAGUCUUAAAUUAUGUCAAAAUAAAAAUAAAUAAACGU